GCCUCCGUAGCAUAGUAGCUAUUGCGGCAGACUUGUAAUCUGCAAGCCUAAAGGCUGGAUUGAGGUCGUGGGUGCAAUUCCCAUCGGGGGCU
RNAcentral lists this transfer RNA (92 nucleotides) under Candidatus Woesearchaeota archaeon. Its description in RNAcentral is "tRNA-Thr". It matches the Rfam family "tRNA". Rfam says of the family: Transfer RNA (tRNA) molecules are approximately 80 nucleotides in length. Their secondary structure includes four short double-helical elements and three loops (D, anti-codon, and T loops). The record is from RNAcentral. Lineage: Archaea; Nanobdellati; Candidatus Woesearchaeota.